GACGAACGCUGGCGGCGUGCUUAACACAUGCAAGUCGAACGAAGUGGCGAACGGGUGAGUAAUACGUGAGUAACCUGCCCUCCUUUUUGGGAUAAGCCUUUGUAACGGGGUCUAAUACCGAAUUAAGGGGGUUGGGCUGGCGGCCUAUCAGCUUGUUGGUGGGGUGAUGGCCUACUAAGGCGGUGACGGGUAGUCGGCCUGGGAGGGUGACAGGCCACAGUGGGACUGGGAUACGGCCCAGACUCCUACGGGAGGGAGCAGUGGGGGAUAAUGCACAAUGGGCGAAAGCAUGAUGGAGCGACGCAGGGUGGGGGAUGAAGGCUUUCGGGUUGUAAACCUCUUUCGCUAUCGAAAGGGUAGGUGGAGAAGAAGCGCCGGCUAACUACGUGCCAGCAGCCGCGGUAAUAC
Molecule: ribosomal RNA, 408 nt
Filed under: uncultured bacterium
Lineage: Bacteria
Description: partial 16S ribosomal RNA
Rfam family: Bacterial small subunit ribosomal RNA
Source: RNAcentral